This 81-nucleotide transfer RNA is filed under the name Actinomadura madurae. Its description in RNAcentral is "tRNA-His(gtg)". Lineage: Bacteria; Bacillati; Actinomycetota; Actinomycetes; Streptosporangiales; Thermomonosporaceae. The record is from RNAcentral.
GCGGGGGUGGACGGCCGGGCGCCGCGGGCCGCCGUGGACGGUCCGGCUCCGCGGGCGGUGACCGUGUCCCGGCCCUCGCCC